Molecule: long non-coding RNA, 5964 nt
Organism: Beta vulgaris subsp. vulgaris (sugar beet)
Lineage: Eukaryota; Viridiplantae; Streptophyta; Magnoliopsida; Caryophyllales; Amaranthaceae
Exons: 3
Source: RefSeq, a predicted model, not a curated record
ACGCAUUAAAUAAGUUUGUCGAAUUUGGGACCGCAGAUCUGUACGAUAUGGAACAAAUAUACGCGGAGGCUAAUUACAAAUCAGGCGACGUGGCCGAGAGACGCCAUGCACGAGCUUGUCUCUCACCAAUUCAAUUUCGUCGGAAACACGUCUGAGGUUCACCGGAGAGUGAAAGUAUUCGAUGAGGAUGUACCUUGAAUUGAUGGGUAUAAUUUUCUUUGACUUUUGCCUACUUUCUUACCCUCUUCAAUUCAAAAUUAAAGUGGUAAAAAUAUCUUAACUUUCCAGUUUAUGCUGUCACUUUAAUUUUCAUUGAAACAGUUUAGAGUUGUUCACUUCUGAUAUUAAAUGAAUAUCCCAUGAUUUGCAGGGUUUACUGGUUGGUUUUAUCAACUAUGAUCUUUAAAUCUCUAAUGUUGUUGUUGGAUUUGUGAAUUUGCCAUAUCUGUUUUGUGGGUAUUCAUUUAUUUCUCGAAUUUAGGUCUAAUUUGUUUCCUGCAGUUGCAUGAAUGGAGGGUAUAAAUCGCGGUAAGAUAUUUGAUGCACCCUUUUCGUUUUGAAUCUUGUUAUAUAUGGUGUUUGUUUGGUUGAUAUAGAAAGAAGCAUGGAAAAUGGAAGUUUAAGUAGAAAACCAUGGAAUUGUUUGGUUAACAAAAAAUAUAGGAACUGACACUUCAAAAUAGAGAAAGUCCUAUGGGGAUUUUCGCUUUCCGAACUCAACCAAACAACAUUUCAUAUCUUUUAGGAAAUGAAAUCUUCUUUGAUAUUGGAAAGUCCUUGGAAGUUAUACUUUCUAUGUUUGAUUAAACGACCACAUAGCCUUUUGGACUUGGCUUGUUUGUGGGAAUGGUGAAUUUGAGUGGCAUUAACAAUGCCAGAUAUUCAUUGUUGCUUUCGAGACACCUUCUUACUCAGUGUGGGGUGCUUUGGGAAGAUUUAGAUGGAAGUGUAGCGGGAUUACUUGAUUCAACAAUUGAAACAUGAUAUAUAGCAAGUGGGAAAACAGCACCAUUGGUUUCAAGAAGUGAAUGGCCGACUACUGUACAUACCAUGGGAGAUUGAUCAUAACAAUCACUGCUUCUUUCUUUCCAGCUGCACUUCAAGAUUUCAUGAAUCACCUAUGGAGGUCCAUCAAGGGACUAUAAAACUUACAAGAGGACUUGCAGCCCUUCUGGACUCCUUCAACCCCUUACUUUACUAGCAGUAUGGGGUGAUUUUAACUAUGGGUUUUUUGGAGGAUUGCGCCUUCCCAAGGAGUUGACACUAUUUUGGUUGUGAUGGACAGGUUAUGCAAGUAUAACACAUUUUUUGGGAUGGGAGCAUCCAAUUUCCUGGUCUUUUUGUAAUGGAGGUAGUACAUUUACACGGUUUUCCUUUCUCGACCAUUUUUGAUCGUGACAGAGUGUUGAUGAGCACCUUUAGGCAAGAUUUCACAUACAAGGAAGUGAGAUGCGAAGCUCAAAAGAAGUGCAACUUAUCAUCCUCAAAUUGAUGAACAAAAUGAGAAUGUUGACAUGAGCUUGGAAACUUAUCAGUUAUUCGUGCUACUUUUUCAAUGGUAAACCCCAUUCGUGGGCUGAGUGGCUGCCUUGGACAGAUAUCAUCCUCACACUUCCACUAGGGUUUCAAUCAACCGCAGCUGAUUCGAGUAAGAAAAGGCCAUACCACUUUGGGGAGCUUAAAAGAGCAAUUGUGAGAACGGAUGCUACAAUUGACGAGCUAAGGCUCAACCUCUUGUGUGUCCGGCAACGUAUGAACUAUGAAGUUCCAUGUAGAGAGAAGAGAUGAAAGCUCUGAAGUGGGUGACAAAUUCUAUAAGUUGCAAUCAUACCAUUAAAGGUUCCCUGCUAUUUUCUAAACAUUUUAAUGAGAAGUGGCAGCUCGAUGCUAUGAGCGUUUCUCUGUUCUUCAAAUGGUGGGACAGGUAGCUUAUAACCUAGACUUACCCUCUUCCAGCAGAGUUUGCCCUGUCUUUUAUGUGUCUUAGCUGAGAUGAAGUGUGGGGACAAUCCACCGUUCUCCAUGACCAGCUGAACUCUGAAUUAGAAAUGGUACUGGAGCUAUGUUGCAACCUUCAUAAGGUUGAAGUGCUGUAUUAAUGGCAUGGAUUGCCUGCAUUUGAAGCCACUAGGGAGAACUAUGACAGCAUUCAACAUAGUUUUCCAGCUUUCCAUCUUCAGGACAAGGUGCGAGUUUGGGCGGCUGGUACUAUGAUGCACUAAGCCAAACCAUCUGUUAUUCUCACUUACACCAGGAGCACCGAUUAAGGUAGAUUGAGAUAUUUAUUUAUAACCUUGUAAGCUGGAAUUAUGACGUGGCAACUGGCAAUUCAGUUACAACUGAGAAAGGCAUGGUAAUGAAAGGGGGAGGGAUGAGAGAGAGAGGAUUCAUUCUGAAAGAUUGCAUACUUUUUUAGCUCUUGGGAUUAGAGAGAGAGGAUUCACUCGGAUCUCUGGAUUCAUAUAAUCUGAUUGAUAUAUCUUUAAAUAUCUCCUUUUCUCUCUUUAAUUUCCUUCUCCAUUUUCUUCGUUUUUACCUCAUAUCUCAAAGCAAUUUACAUAUUUCUUAGUUUAUUAUACGCUGCUCUUAUAUUGUCGUUUGCCAUUUCCCUAAAACUGGUUAUUUAUCUGGUAGUAGAAUAUCUUUGCUGAUAUGAUAAUUAAACAUUGCAGAUAUUGAAAACGUACAUUGAGGAUGACAAUGGGGAUAAUAGCAUUGUCAAAAAGUUAAUAUCAAAUUGGAGAGCAGAAACUGCAGGAUGUAUUCUGCAGUACUGUCAUGGUAAAAUUGGAUGUGCUAUUUUAUUACUGUCCAAUUGAAUGGCAUUGCAGUUGUUUUAAUCUUAUUACGUAUAAAUGCUCCAGCUUAGAUAAGAGUCGCUGCAGUGCCCCGCUUCAUUGUUUACCUUAGAAUAAUAUCUGGGUCUGCUCUAAAUGUUGGCCAAACAUGACAGAAGCAAAACAAGAAAGGAUAACAUCUCAUUAAAUCGUUAAAAAGGUUUACAUUAGUUAUGCUGAGAGUUGCAUCUCACUUUUUUCUUGUAUCUUUUACACCAUACUGACUUGUUGUCAAUUCUAAAAUGCUUUUCUUCUUGAUCCCCAAAAAUAAUUGCUGGUAUAUAGCAUUUUGAGAACACCAACUUGCCAAACAAAGGUGGUCGCUUAGGGUUGGGGCGGUGCACAUAAAUCAUCUGAAUGCAGUCACCAAAGUACCUGGUGCAUGAAAAGAAAAAUUGAAAGUUAGAUGCACAUAGGGGUCAUGAAUCUUUUAUUUAUAAGUAGCAAUUGUGUGGAACAAGACGUCUAGGAAAAUUUAAAGAGUUUUCAGCUAGCAAGAUCAUCAAGCGGUUUAUGUUGACUGCAUAUGCGUAAUUUUUGACCUAAAAUAAUAAAAGCGAAACCUUUAGUUUCUAGCAAAUGAAGGAAUUGUAUGAAUACAUACCUUGUAAAAAAUUGGGCAAUCUGAUGGUUAGACACAGGAUGACCUCUUGAGAAUGUGAAAAAAAUUGUUCUAUCCUCUUCUCUAACUUUCUCAAGCAUUGGCACCCAUGGCUGAGCAUAGGGGUUCAAUGCAUUAGUUCUCUCCAUGUCUUACAAAUAAUUACGACUUAUGAGAGAUGUGAAGGAAAACUGGAGUAAACAUUAAACAGGAUAAGAGAUAAGAGAGUUGUGUUUAUGAAUUUGUGGUCUGGUCUCCAAUUGAGCCAGAUGCAGAGAACAGUAGUGAAUUUAUAAUAUAUGAGUGUGAAGGGGAUCAUAGAGAAAUUUUUAAAGGGAAGAAUGCCUGUUUGAUGCUAUUCUAUAUUUGAAUUUCUAUCAUUUUAUUCAUUUUUUUUUGUUUAUCUUGCUUUACUGUAUUUGCUGUAUAAUGAUAGGGAGGACUUUGAACAAGAAGAAAAAUGAUGCUAUCCCAUCGGAAUCUGUAGGAGCCUUAUUUAUUUCCUAAUGUGUUGUUAAUAUUACUUUCUAUUUCAGACGUGAUAUCUAACCAUUUAUGAGCUGCAAUCAUGCUCAAUGUAACCAUCACUCCAGUGCGUCUUGCCCUAGCUAAAUUAGAUUGAGAGAGUAAUGCUACAUAUUUUUACGAACUCCAGAAUAGAAAAAGGGACAUAUAGAAAAAUUUCUUGAUAUAUGGUGAAAUUUGAACCUUAGUCAUUUUUAUUAGGAUUGCCAUACGAGAGAACCAGUAUCCAUUUUCUCCAAGGAAAAAACCAGAUAAACAUGACAGUGAAGGCUCACAGCUGGUAGUUACUUCCUAGAUCUUGAGUGCCACCCCAUAAGACCUAGUUGAUUUGAACUAGUAGAUCCUAUUGGUUUGGUUGCCAUCUCAAAUUAUUUAAACUUCCAAGUGGCCUACUCUUAGUGAACCUUUUGGGGUUAAAUGAUUACAUUUGGUUUCUACUAUCGAGCUUCGCCCCCCUCCCUUUUCAGUUGUUUAUGUUCAUUUCUUAAAUCUUGAACACCAGGCCAUCACUCCUGAGUACCGUGUUGAUUCAAAUGAUCAUAUGUUUUUUUGUUUUAAUGUUGGUCAAAUUUUCCUCAAAGUUGGUUUUUGUGCUACUCAUUCUCCAUAUUUAGUAUGCUGCUGGGUGGAACUCUUGCAUCUAACUUCAUCUAAAAUUCCCUACUCUAACAUUACCCACGCCCUUACUGCUAGCCAAGGGUUAAUGUUAAAUUAUGAUUGAGACUCACACUUCUUUGUUAGGUCAUCUCUUGGUUCUAUGCUUUGAUAAUUUGACGAAUGGAGUAAUUGUUUUAACAUUUUAGUUUGCACUUUGCACAUGUGAUCGUUGUGUUUCCUGCUGACCUAGGUAAUACAUUAAGGUUUACAGGAGCAUGUGGCUUUAGCCAAUAUUAUACCUUUUAUCUUGUGCUACAACUCCAAAUGGUGUGAUAUAUUCAAGAAUGCUUCCAAGACCAUACAUAUUGAUAAAUGGAAUUACUAUUUAUUUGCUGAAUAGACAGUUUCAUCGAAAAAACCAUAACUAUACUUAACAACGAAAUACUCGAAAAAGCCCAUAUACGCCGAAGAUUUUUUGUUGCCAUCGGAAAACUCCUCUUACUACAAGACGCUUACCUAGCCAAUGCUUAGAUCCGGCUCUACCCAACCUUUUUCUGGUUCACUCCAACAUUCCCCACUUGUGCGACUGUUGCUGAGCAGUUUUGGGUUUUUAUUUAUAUCUGAUGCUCUUUAUUCCUCAUUGACCAUAACUCGCUAGAUUUAGAUCGUUGUAGAAUGAUGACGGUUGGUUAUAUAUGUGCAUGAAGCUUGUUAAUACUUUAUAUUGAACUUAAAAGACUUGCGUAUGACUGCCGAGGAAAUUAAAAAUGUCUAACCAAAAUGAACAUAACUGAAUUAGCAAUUCAUGGAAAGAAAUCGUCGAGUUAAACUGAUCAUUAAUGCCUUGAAUCUGAGCAGUGUAUCAAAUAUUGAUUGUCAGUCUACUAAAGUUUGUUAAGAAAAAUUUCAUAACUAAGAAUUUUAGAGGAUGGCGUUCAAGUCAAUGAUAACAUGUGUUGCUAUAUUCCAUCAAGCCUUCCUCUGAGACUAACUUGUUUAUUAACGUACUUAUCAUCUUUGACUAACUGGGUCUGCCUUUAUCUAUUAUCGCCUUGCUCAAUGAGAAACACUUUGUAGCUUGUUGAACUUAUAGGUUAAUGGUUGGGGAAAACCGUCUGGUCCCUAAGAAAGCAAGUUAAUACAUGCUGUGCUUAGGAGCUCUGCUUCUCAGGUUUAUCAGUUGGUGUGGUUUUUAGAGCUUAGAAAAGUCAUUUACUUGAAGGUUUAACAAGAUUACUUAAGGUAUAAUUGACCAGCGUUGUGAGUUCUCUAAAUAUGUGUAUGUUACUUAUGGCUGUGGUUACAUGUUAUAUUUCGACAGAAGGACGAUGACUUGUAGUAAGAUAAGUAGUACUUUUGAACUCAUGUAUGUUUGAUUUAUAUACAAGAUUCGAGCUUUUUUAA